RNAcentral lists this ribosomal RNA (780 nucleotides) under Acinetobacter calcoaceticus. Its description in RNAcentral is "bacterial SSU rRNA". It matches the Rfam family "Bacterial small subunit ribosomal RNA", at positions 67 to 840 of the family's 1533-position model. Lineage: Bacteria; Pseudomonadati; Pseudomonadota; Gammaproteobacteria; Moraxellales; Moraxellaceae. The record is from RNAcentral.
CGGAGUGCAUGGUGCUUGCACUAUCACUUAGCGGCGGACGGGUGAGUAAUGCUUAGGAAUCUGCCUAUUAGUGGGGGACAACAUUUCGAAAGGAAUGCUAAUACCGCAUACGUCCUACGGGAGAAAGCAGGGGAUCUUCGGACCUUGCGCUAAUAGAUGAGCCUAAGUCGGAUUAGCUAGUUGGUGGGGUAAAGGCCUACCAAGGCGACGAUCUGUAGCGGGUCUGAGAGGAUGAUCCGCCACACUGGGACUGAGACACGGCCCAGACUCCUACGGGAGGCAGCAGUGGGGAAUAUUGGACAAUGGGCGCAAGCCUGAUCCAGCCAUGCCGCGUGUGUGAAGAAGGCCUUAUGGUUGUAAAGCACUUUAAGCGAGGAGGAGGCUACUGAAGUUAAUACCUUCAGAUAGUGGACGUUACUCGCAGAAUAAGCACCGGCUAACUCUGUGCCAGCAGCCGCGGUAAUACAGAGGGUGCAAGCGUUAAUCGGAUUUACUGGGCGUAAAGCGCGCGUAGGCGGCUAAUUAAGUCAAAUGUGAAAUCCCCGAGCUUAACUUGGGAAUUGCAUUCGAUACUGGUUAGCUAGAGUGUGGGAGAGGAUGGUAGAAUUCCAGGUGUAGCGGUGAAAUGCGUAGAGAUCUGGAGGAAUACCGAUGGCGAAGGCAGCCAUCUGGCCUAACACUGACGCUGAGGUGCGAAAGCAUGGGGAGCAAACAGGAUUAGAUACCCUGGUAGUCCAUGCCGUAAACGAUGUCUACUAGCCGUUGGGGCCUUUGAGGCUU